RNAcentral lists this ribosomal RNA (433 nucleotides) under uncultured bacterium. RNAcentral's name for it is "partial 16S ribosomal RNA". It matches the Rfam family "Bacterial small subunit ribosomal RNA", at positions 29 to 507 of the family's 1533-position model. The record is from RNAcentral.
AGCGAACGCUGGCGGCAGGCCUAACACAUGCAAGUCGAACGAACUCUUCGGAGUUAGUGGCGGACGGGUGAGUAACACGUGGGAACGUGCCUUUAGGUUCGGAAUAACUCAGGGAAACUUGUGCUAAUACCGAAUGUGCCCUUCGGGGGAAAGAUUUAUCGCCUUUAGAGCGGCCCGCGUCUGAUUAGCUAGUUGGUGAGGUAAAGGCUCACCAAGGCGACGAUCAGUAGCUGGUCUGAGAGGAUGAUCAGCCACAUUGGGACUGAGACACUGCCCAAACUCCUACGGGAGGCAGCAGUGGGGAAUCUUGCGCAAUGGGCGAAAGCCUGACGCAGCCAUGCCGCGUGAAUGAUGAAGGUCUUAGGAUUGUAAAAUUCUUUCACCGGGGACGAUAAUGACGGUACCCGGAGAAGAAGCCCCGGCUAACUUCGUG